UGUGCGGUCCAUAAAAGAUAACCCUCUUGGCGCAGGGCAGGCAGGCUAAGGAUAUGGACGGGGAAUCGACACGAGGAGGAGGAGGAGAUGAGAGGAUAUUGAUCAGCUACAACUCGACGUGGACCGUUCAACCCAUGCAGUCACAAAAGAGGAAAGACUGGUGACAAGGAAAAGAGCUGCCACUGAGAGGAGGAAGAAGAAGAAGAAGAAGAAGAGGUAUGAAGCUGCCUGGACCGGAUGAUGGCGCUGCUAUACAGACUGGCUGCACCUUGCAGAAAAACUCCCUCUUUGUAGAUGAAUGAGUGGCCCAGUCAGGAUUACUUACUGCAGGGGUCUUAACCUGCCAACCAGCAGUACUACAUCUCAGAGGCUAAAAACAGACACGGAGACACACUUAAC
Oncorhynchus masou masou (cherry salmon) is the source of this 399-nucleotide long non-coding RNA. RefSeq lists it as uncharacterized. Lineage: Eukaryota; Metazoa; Chordata; Actinopteri; Salmoniformes; Salmonidae. The transcript has 4 exons. The record is from RefSeq and is a predicted model, not a curated record.